This 577-nucleotide long non-coding RNA is filed under the name Macaca nemestrina (pig-tailed macaque). RNAcentral describes it as "lncRNA (ENSMNEG00000046117.1)". The record is from RNAcentral. Lineage: Eukaryota; Metazoa; Chordata; Mammalia; Primates; Cercopithecidae.
UUCUCAUGGCGAUUGGAGAAUAUAAAACCCUAAAAUGGAAAGCAGAGGAGUGACUGGAAAUAAAGCUUUAGAAACUGAAUACAUGGCUGUGAAUGGUAACAACGUCUCUUUCCUAGGGAUAAGGAUCGACUGAGAAAAUCCUCCACGGUGGGUUAGAAGAUGCUAAAGAAACAUUGAAAUAUUUGAGCUACAGACUCAGAUGGCCAAGAGGCUCCAGAGGGGCAGGCCUGGUGAUGAAUGGAGCUGCAGAGAUUGCACCUGCCGAGGGUGAGAGACAGAAAAGUGGCAGAACCUAAACCAGUGCCCCGGCCCCCACCCAGCCUUUGCAAUCACCCAUUGAGUACCCCGUGUCCGGUGACUUGAGAUCAAGACCAAGGAGAAAAGAAAAGUUCACAUGUCAAAAAUAUAUCCACAAGCUUCAACCAAACAAUAACUUCGAAACAUGCCUUUCUCUCUCUCUUGGAAAAGGAUUUCUGAAUGUCGGAGUGAGAUUUGUUACCUGAUGAUGCCUCAGGUCUGUGAAGACUUCUCCUCCCAGGGUCUCGAGGGAAGUGGAAGGAAGUGCCCAUCAGGUUAA